Molecule: ribosomal RNA, 383 nt
Filed under: uncultured prokaryote
Description: bacterial SSU rRNA
Rfam family: Archaeal small subunit ribosomal RNA
Source: RNAcentral
GCGAAAACUUUACAAUGCUGGCAACAGCGAUGAGGGAACCUCGAGUGCAGGUUACAAAUCUGGCUGUCGAGAUGCCUAAAAAGCAUUUCAUAGCAAGGGCCGGGCAAGACCGGUGCCAGCCGCCGCGGUAACACCGGCGGCUCGAGUGGUAACCGUUAUUAUUGGGUCUAAAGGGUCUGUAGCCGGCCGGAUAAGUCUCUUGAGAAAUCUGGCAGCUUAACUGUCAGGCUUUCAGGAGAUACUGUCUGGCUCGAGGCCGGGAGAGGUGAGAGGUACUUCAGGGGUAGGGGUGAAAUCUUGUAAUCCUUGAAGGACCACCAGUGGCGAAGGCGUCUCACCAGAACGGACCUGACGGCAAGGGACGAAAGCUAGGGGCACGAACC